CCGGGCGACGGGCCGGCUCCGGCCGGUCGGCUUGAGGCCGGUACCCGGGCGGCGUUCGUGUCGACGACGACCGAUCGGAUCGGCCUCGCCCCGAC
This 95-nucleotide transfer RNA is filed under the name Actinomadura rubteroloni. RNAcentral describes it as "Actinomadura sp. RB29 tRNA-Ser". The record is from RNAcentral. Lineage: Bacteria; Bacillati; Actinomycetota; Actinomycetes; Streptosporangiales; Thermomonosporaceae.